Molecule: ribosomal RNA, 253 nt
Filed under: uncultured bacterium
Lineage: Bacteria
Description: partial 16S ribosomal RNA
Rfam family: Bacterial small subunit ribosomal RNA
Source: RNAcentral
UACGUAGGGUGCGAGCGUUGUCCGGAAUUACUGGGCGUAAAGAGCUCGUAGGUGGUUUGUCGCGUUGUUCGUGAAAUUCCCUGGCUUAACUGGGGGCGUGCGGGCGAUACGGGCAGACUGGAGUACUGCAGGGGAGACUGGAAUUCCUGGUGUAGCGGUGGAAUGCGCAGAUAUCAGGGGGAACACCGGUGGCGAAGGCGGGUCUCUGGGCAGUAACUGACGCUGAGGAGCGAAAGCGUGGGGAGCGAACAGG